UACAGAGGGUGCAAGCGUUAAUCGGAAUUACUGGGCGUAAAGCGCGCGUAGGCGGUUAUGUAAGUCAGAUGUGAAAGCCCCGGGCUUAACCUGGGAAUGGCAUUUGAGACUGCAUAGCUAGGGUGCGGAAGAGGGAAGCGGAAUUUCCGGUGUAGCGGUGAAAUGCGUAGAUAUCGGAAGGAACACCAGUGGCGAAAGCGGCUUCCUGGUCCAGCACCGACGUUCAGGCACGAAAGCGUGGGGAGCAAACAGG
RNAcentral lists this ribosomal RNA (253 nucleotides) under uncultured bacterium. Its description in RNAcentral is "partial 16S ribosomal RNA". It matches the Rfam family "Bacterial small subunit ribosomal RNA", at positions 524 to 776 of the family's 1533-position model. The record is from RNAcentral.